RNAcentral lists this ribosomal RNA (496 nucleotides) under uncultured bacterium. Its description in RNAcentral is "partial 16S ribosomal RNA". It matches the Rfam family "Bacterial small subunit ribosomal RNA", at positions 28 to 506 of the family's 1533-position model. The record is from RNAcentral.
GACGAACGCUGGCGGCGUGCCUAAUACAUGCAAGUUGAGCGCUGAAGGUUGGUACUUGUACCAACUGGAUGAGCAGCGAACGGGUGAGUAACGCGUGGGGAAUCUGCCUUUGAGCGGGGGACAACAUUUGGAAACGAAUGCUAAUACCGCAUAAAAACUUUAAACACAAGUUUUAAGUUUGAAAGAUGCAAUUGCAUCACUCAAAGAUGAUCCCGCGUUGUAUUAGCUAGUUGGUGAGGUAAAGGCUCACCAAGGCGAUGAUACAUAGCCGACCUGAGAGGGUGAUCGGCCACAUUGGGACUGAGACACGGCCCAAACUCCUACGGGAGGCAGCAGUAGGGAAUCUUCGGCAAUGGACGAAAGUCUGACCGAGCAACGCCGCGUGAGUGAAGAAGGUUUUCGGAUCGUAAAACUCUGCUGGUAGAGAAGAACGUUGGUGAGAGUGGAAAGCUCAUCAAGUGACGGUAACUACCCAGAAAGGGACGGCUAACUACGU